This 440-nucleotide ribosomal RNA is filed under the name uncultured bacterium. RNAcentral's name for it is "partial 16S ribosomal RNA". It matches the Rfam family "Bacterial small subunit ribosomal RNA", at positions 339 to 795 of the family's 1533-position model. The record is from RNAcentral.
CUACGGGCCGCAGCAGUAGGGAAUUUUCCACAAUGGGCGAGAGCCUGAUGGAGCAACGCCGCGUGCAGGAUGAAUGCCUUCGGGUUGUAAACUGCUUUUAUGUGCGAAGAAUUUGACUGUAACACAUGAAUAAGGAUCGGCUAACUACGUGCCAGCAGCCGCGGUCAUACGUAGGAUCCAAGCGUUAUCCGGAAUUACUGGGCGUAAAGAGUUGCGUAGGUGGUAUGUUAAGUGGAGCGUUAAAGCGUGCGGCUCAACCGCAUUGUUGCGUUCCAAACUAGCACACUAGAGGACGAGAGAGGUUAUUGGAAUUCCCAGUGUAGGAGUGAAAUCCGUAGAUAUUGGGAGGAACACCGAUGGCGUAGGCAGAUAACUGGCUCGCUCCUGACACUGAGGCACGAAAGCGUGGGUAGCAAACGGGAUUAGAUACCCGAGUAGUC